This 643-nucleotide ribosomal RNA is filed under the name uncultured Propionibacterium sp. RNAcentral describes it as "bacterial SSU rRNA". It matches the Rfam family "Bacterial small subunit ribosomal RNA", at positions 227 to 880 of the family's 1533-position model. Lineage: Bacteria; Bacillati; Actinomycetota; Actinomycetes; Propionibacteriales; Propionibacteriaceae. The record is from RNAcentral.
GGACUCGCGGCUUAUCAGCUUGUUGGUGGGGUAGUGGCUUACCAAGGCUUUGACGGGUAGCCGGCCUGAGAGGGUGACCGGCCACAUUGGGACUGAGAUACGGCCCAGACUCCUACGGGAGGCAGCAGUGGGGAAUAUUGCACAAUGGGCGGAAGCCUGAUGCAGCAACGCCGCGUGCGGGAUGACGGCCUUCGGGUUGUAAACCGCUUUCGCCUGUGACGAAGCGUGAGUGACGGUAAUGGGUAAAGAAGCACCGGCUAACUACGUGCCAGCAGCCGCGGUGAUACGUAGGGUGCGAGCGUUGUCCGGAUUUAUUGGGCGUAAAGGGCUCGUAGGUGGUUGAUCGCGUCGGAAGUGUAAUCUUGGGGCUUAACCCUGAGCGUGCUUUCGAUACGGGUUGACUUGAGGAAGGUAGGGGAGAAUGGAAUUCCUGGUGGAGCGGUGGAAUGCGCAGAUAUCAGGAGGAACACCAGUGGCGAAGGCGGUUCUCUGGGCCUUUCCUGACGCUGAGGAGCGAAAGCGUGGGGAGCGAACAGGCUUAGAUACCCUGGUAGUCCACGCUGUAAACGGUGGGUACUAGGUGUGGGGUCCAUUCCACGGGUUCCGCGCCGUAGCUAACGCUUUAAGUACCCCGCCUGGGGAG